AGUCUGGUUGCAGUUUCUGCAUUGCUCCAUGAAAAAGACAGUCUCUGAGGUGCAACCAAAGGCAUUAAAAAAUUUUGUUUGGACAGAUAACUCGAAUAAGACAUCUCUUGCUUAAGUUGAUAGCAGUUGGUUUUGAUAUUCUGAGGAAUAUAGGCCACUGAAGUUUGAAUGCAGAGAAAACGCUGCAAGAUAGAAAACUGAGACCUACUCUUCAUUCAGGAACAACAAAGCAUUUAAUCUUCAGAGCAUCUUAGACUGAAAACCUUUCAACUGUGCUGAAAAACCUAGAAGACAGACCAUUUUGCCCACCCUCUCAUUUAAAAGGAAUUGAAGAAGAAAUAAAAUGGCAGAGGUUUAAGGUUACUAUUCAGGAUGACUGAUGAUAAUUCAGAUGAUAAAAUCGAAGAUGAAUUGCAAACCUUCUUUACCAGUGAUAAAGAUGGAAAUACACAUGCAUACAACCCGAAAUCACCACCUACACAAAACUCUUCAGCCAGCAGUGUGAAUUGGAAUUCUGCCAUCCCAGAUGACAUGGUGGUUGAUUAUGAAACUGACCCUG
This 559-nucleotide small RNA is filed under the name Pan troglodytes (chimpanzee). Its description in RNAcentral is "processed transcript". Lineage: Eukaryota; Metazoa; Chordata; Mammalia; Primates; Hominidae. The record is from RNAcentral.